GGAUGGGCUGGUUUAUUCAGUGUCUGUUAGCUGCGUUUAAAAGGUGUGUAGGAGUGAAGUAAUACAUAUUUACUUAAUUCUCUAGGCUAAGCUAUAAUAGUCAAAAUGGAAUGAAUAAUUAAAUGUAAAAGCGAUCUGGAGAUACAUCUGCAUAUGUUUUUGUAAUAUUAAGUUAGGGACAGAUUUUCCAACCAUAACUGAAGAGAGAAAUGCUAAAGGAAUACUGAGAUUUGACUUGAUAAUUAUGUGUAAACAUCCGAAUCAUCUAAAUGACAAUCAAUUAAUGAAAUAAAAAUUGAUGCAAGACAAAAAUUCAAUAACUUAACACAUAUAAUGAACAGACAGAUAAUCUCAAGGCACUGUGUUUUUGUCGCUCAAAAUAAUGGUCACUAGUCUAAGAGGAGAGUAGCAAUAACUAUAGAAAUAUAAAUUAUAUAUGCACAUUAUCAGCAUUACAUGAUGAUAGUUGAAAAUACAAAUUACCAUUAGUAAUAAACAUUAUCAUCAAAUGCACCAGAAUCAGAAUUACUUGACCUUUUAGGAAUUGAUCCUGCUCUCCAUAAUGAGUAACUAAGAAAAUAUGGGUCAUUUUUUUCCCUUAACUCUGUUUAUGCUCCUGAAUCUCCUGAUGCAUUUUAUUGCUCCAUCUUUUGCAUAAUUAUUUUUUGUAGCUUCUUUCUCUUCAGCUGAGAUAUCUCCUAUAUUCUCUUUACACUAUUCCAUAAAUGAUCCCAAUUUCUUCCUAGGCAUCAUUGGUGAAUUCCAUGCUUGUGAUGACAAUGUAGUGAUAAAUUAUCCAUGUGUUUUUUCUUCCAGUUUUGUCUGUUCCUCAAGUGACUCUCCUGGAUGUAGCAAUAGGCCAGUAGCGAUGCAUGACAUUUUGGUCAGGUCAGGCAGUGAGAAGGAAAGAAAAUCUAAACUCUCUCUUUGAGAUUUUCAAUGCAAGAUCUGGGUGGAAGCCGACAAAUAAUUUGGAAGUACCCACGAUUAGUCAGUAUGAGGAUUUUACGCUCCCUCAAGAGUAAUUGAGGUGGGGGGUCGGGAUGGGGGGUGAAAGGGAUGAAGAGGGUUGAAUAACAAACUUCCAGCUAUAAAUAAAUGUCUUGGGGAUGUAACGCACUUGUUGACUCUAUUUAUAUUUAUAUUAACUAUAGUUAAUAACGCUAUAUUGUGUAUUUGAAAGUGGCUGAGUAGAUCCUAAAAUUUCUCAUCAGAAGAAAAAAAUAUGUAAUUAUGCAUAGUGAUGGAUGUUAACUAGACUUAUUGUGGUGACCAUUUCACAAUAUACACAGAUAUUGAAUCGCUAUGUUGUACACCUGAAACUAAUAUAAUAUGUCAAUUAUAUCUUAAUUAUUGUUUUUUAAAAAGAGUGCUCGAGGUUGUUUUAUCAGAUGGACAAAAGAAGCUAUUUCAAAGGGAAACAAGAAGACCUAAUAUUUAGAGCCUAAUAUUUAGACUCCGUGGGGUCCUUGAGAAAUGACUCUGUGUCCUGGCCACACUACUGGACAGUGCACUUGAAAUACCAAGUAAAGUAAAAGAAAUAAAUGAUAUCAGUGCCCCACAAACAUUUUCACGUAGGAUGAUGUAGGAAUCCCGGGUUCCCUCCUACCCUGUCCCCCCCACACAAAUCUUGACCAGGGACAGAGUUACAGAAAAGAAAAGGCUGGGUAAAUUUACACCACAGUCAUCACCACACACCCGCCAGAAGCCUCAAAUUAAAAUCUGGACAGUAUUACGUGUCAGCAAGAAUGUGAAGAUAUGGGAAUUACAGUGUGGGACUAUCAAUUGGUUUGUUGACUUUGAAGAAAAAAAAUGACAAUAUCCCCAGUAAAGCUGAAGAUAUGGUUACCCUAUGAUCCCUGCUUAAUACCAUAAGUAAAUCCAUGUGAAUGGUAACCAGAUAUAUAUAUAUGUGUAUAUAUAUAUAUAUACACACACAGAAGAAUCGUCUCAGAAGCAUCAUUUGUAGCUGCCAAAAGUGAACACAAUCCAGACCUCCAUCAACAAUCGAAGGAAUAAACAAAAUGGUGUAUUAAUAGGAUUAACUUGCAGCACUGAGUAUGAAUCUUAAAUACUUAAUAUUGAAUGAAAGAAAUCAGAUGCAACAGUAUAUAUAUGUUACCCUAAUUACACAAGGGGAAAAAUAACAGGCAAAAAUCAGACUAUGAUUUUGGCAUAGAAAUAGACAUGAUAAGAGUAUAAAGAAAGGCAAGGGAGGGUUAUUAUGCUAAUUUGGAUAUUCGAUACCCUGGGGGCAAGAGGAGUCUAGCAACAGUAGGGGGCAUGCAGGAGACCUACUGGUGGUAGUAGUACUCUAGUUCUUGACCUGGGUUGAUGUCACACAGUUGUUUAUUUAAUAACCAUCUAUAUGUAUCCAUUUUUUUUGUUAAGAUUAUGAUAGUUUACAACCUUGUGAGAUUUCAGUUGUACAUUAUUGUUGGUCAUGUUGUGGGUACACCACUUCACCCUUUGUGCCCUCCCCCCACCCCCCUUUCCCCUGGUAACCACCGAUCAGUUCUCCUUGUCUAAUAUGUAUCCAUUUUUUGUACUUGUAUAUUUCACAAUGAAAAUGAAAUAGAAGAAAGGAAGGUGAAAAGAAAGAAAUUUCUCUAUUCAUGAAGUUCUUAAAGUUAUAAUUUUGGUCAAUCAGGUUCUUCUCCAAAUUCAGAUUCUAAAAAAGUGAAAGCACAAACACUGUUUUCAGGACAAGUGUAACUGUUCUUUGUAAAUGUAUUUCACGUCAAUGACCAGCUCACACUGACCUCUGAGUCCGUAGGUUACAAUCUGAUUGACUCAGUACUUAAAAUAAGCUUAACUGGACAUUUUCAAAGAUUAUUUUCACAGAGCUACAAUUCACUCAGGCUCUUUUUUCUGUGGAUCUCAAAACAGGAAUCCUGCCUCAGCAAAUCUAGUAUUUAUUUGUCAGUAUGCUUUGGAGGAGAAAGAAGAAAAUUCUUAAUUUUGUCAACUUAAUAAUAGAAAUUGAAUGUGACUGUUGGGGGAGGCAAGCCUCCUUUCACAAUUAUGAAAGAACACAGGUUUAUUAACCAUGGAGGAUCCCAAAGUGAAGCCUCUGGGUCUCUUCCUAGGUCUGAGUUGACUUGUGGUGUCUUCUUUUUGUCCUUUUCUUCAUAUUCUGAUGAUUCAGACCACUUAACCCUCCUUCAUGCUGACAGAUCACCGUUGGAGCUGUGAGGUUCCUGUUACCCCAAGCUGGUGGCAUAUUCUCUCCAGUUCCCGCUUUCCUCAUUGCCACUGGAAAAAUCCCCUAGGUUUCCUCAGUUUGAAGUUCUGCUUAUUUCAAAAUAGUUUCGUUAUCCCUGCUACUGCGAACAUCUCGCCCUCUUGUUUCCAAGAAAGUUUAAUGAACAGACCUCUUCUCAAACUAAAGAUGAAAUCCCAUCAUUCUACUUAUUUUAUGUAGGAAAUCCACAUCUACAGGACCCUUCAGAGAGGGACCCCUCUUGCCCUGGAGUAAUCCUAUUAAGCACCUUCAUCUCACUGUUUCUAAUUAUAAUAAGAAAGUCAGAAGAAACUCGGUUUCUCCUAUAAUGAAUUCAUACAAGAAUUUCUGCAAGUGACAAAAUGUUGGAGAGAAUGACUUCAACACUCAACAGACUGAUUUUUUUAAAAAAAUAGAUCUGAUUAUUUCCUACAAUGUGAACAGCCUCUGUGUGUCUCCUAUGGCUUGACUGACUCACAAAGUUGUCCUUUCUUUCCCUCCAAUACCAGAAGUUGGAAGGAAACCCCUCCCAGCUACUACAUUGAUGACAAGGGAAAGUGUGUGUGAACUGGGGU
Molecule: long non-coding RNA, 3798 nt
Organism: Equus caballus (horse)
Lineage: Eukaryota; Metazoa; Chordata; Mammalia; Perissodactyla; Equidae
Source: Ensembl